RNAcentral lists this ribosomal RNA (487 nucleotides) under uncultured bacterium. Its description in RNAcentral is "bacterial SSU rRNA". It matches the Rfam family "Bacterial small subunit ribosomal RNA", at positions 1 to 494 of the family's 1533-position model. The record is from RNAcentral.
GGGAUUAGAGUUUGAUCCUGGGUCAGGAUGAACGCUAGCRGCAKGCCUAAUAMAUGCAAAUCGAGCGGGUCGCAAGACAGACGGCAAACGGGUGCGUAACGCGUAACAACCUGACUCACUCAUACUGUGGGGAUARCCCUGCAGAAWACGKUWUUUAAACCCGCAUAGUCCCCUGGAGUCACCUGGCUGUUUKGGUAAACAUUUAUGGGUUGAGGAGGGGCUUGCGUCUGAUUAGCUAGUUGGGGGGGUAACGGCCCACCAAGGCGAUGAUCAGUAGGGGUUCUGAGAGGAUUGGCCCCCACACGGGUACUGAGAGACGGACCCGACUCCUACGGGAGGCAGCAGUAGGGAAUAUUGGGCAAUGGAGGCAACUCUGACCCAGCCAUGCCGCGUGCAGGAUGAAGGCGCUCAGCGUUGUAAACUGCUUUUAUCAGGGAAGAACUGUAGUCCUSCGGGAUUAUUUGACGGUACCUGAGGAAUAAGCACC